UAACGCGUUAAAUCGACCGCCUGGGGAGUACGGCCGCAAGGUUAAAACUCAAAUGAAUUGACGGGGGCCCGCACAAGCGGUGGAGCAUGUGGUUUAAUUCGAUGCAACGCGAAGAACCUUACCUGGUCUUGACAUCCACAGAACUUUCCAGAGAUGGAUUGGUGCCUUCGGGAACUGUGAGACAGGUGCUGCAUGGCUGUCGUCAGCUCGUGUUGUGAAAUGUUGGGUUAAGUCCCGCAACGAGCGCAACCCUUAUCCUUUGUUGCCAGCGGUUAGGCCGGGAACUCAAAGGAGACUGCCAGUGAUAAACUGGAGGAAGGUGGGGAUGACGUCAAGUCAUCAUGGCCCUUACGACCAGGGCUACACACGUGCUACAAUGGCAUAUACAAAGAGAAGCGACCUCGCGAGAGCAAGCGGACCUCAUAAAGUAUGUCGUAGUCCGGAUUGGAGUCUGCAACUCGACUCCAUGAAGUCGGAAUCGCUAGUAAUCGUAGAUCAGA
This 500-nucleotide ribosomal RNA is filed under the name Klebsiella pneumoniae. RNAcentral describes it as "bacterial SSU rRNA". It matches the Rfam family "Bacterial small subunit ribosomal RNA", at positions 853 to 1353 of the family's 1533-position model. Lineage: Bacteria; Pseudomonadati; Pseudomonadota; Gammaproteobacteria; Enterobacterales; Enterobacteriaceae. The record is from RNAcentral.